This 253-nucleotide ribosomal RNA is filed under the name uncultured bacterium. RNAcentral describes it as "partial 16S ribosomal RNA". It matches the Rfam family "Bacterial small subunit ribosomal RNA", at positions 524 to 776 of the family's 1533-position model. The record is from RNAcentral.
UACGAAGGGGGCUAGCGUUGUUCGGAAUCACUGGGCGUAAAGGGCGCGUAGGCGGCUUUUCAAGCGUGCGGUGAAAGCUCGGGGCUUAACUCCGAGUCUGCCGUGCGAACUGGGAGGCUUGAGUCUGGUAGAGGUCGAUGGAAUUCCGGGUGUAGCGGUGGAAUGCGUAGAGAUCCGGAAGAACACCGGUGGCGAAGGCGGUCGACUGGGCCAGUACUGACGCUGAGGCGCGACAGCGUGGGGAGCAAACAGG